GAGUUUGAUCCUGGCUCAGAUUGAACGCUGGCGGCAGGCCUAACACAUGCAAGUCGAACGGUAACAGGAAGCAGCUUGCUGCUAUGCUGACGAGUGGCGGACGGGUGAGUAAUGUCUGGGAAACUGCCUGAUGGAGGGGGAUAACUACUGGAAACGGUAGCUAAUACCGCAUAACGUCGCAAGACCAAAGAGGGGGACCUUCGGGCCUCUUGCCAUCGGAUGUGCCCAGAUGGGAUUAGCUAGUAGGUGGGGUAACGGCUCACCUAGGCGACGAUCCCUAGCUGGUCUGAGAGGAUGACCAGCCACACUGGAACUGAGACACGGUCCAGACUCCUACGGGAGGCAGCAGUGGGGAAUAUUGCACAAUGGGCGCAAGCCUGAUGCAGCCAUGCCGCGUGUAUGAAGAAGGCCUUCGGGUUGUAAAGUACUUUCAGCGGGGAGGAAGGGAGUAAAGUUAAUACCUUUGCUCAUUGACGUUACCCGCAGAAGAAGCACCGGCUAACUCCGUGCCAGCAGCCGCGGUAAUACGGAGGGUGCAAGCGUUAAUCGGAAUUACUGGGCGUAAAGCGCACGCAGGCGGUUUGUUAAGUCAGAUGUGAAAUCCCCGGGCUCAACCUGGGAACUGCAUCUGAUACUGGCAAGCUUGAGUCUCGUAGAGGGGGGUAGAAUUCCAGGUGUAGCGGUGAAAUGCGUAGA
This 696-nucleotide ribosomal RNA is filed under the name uncultured bacterium. RNAcentral's name for it is "bacterial SSU rRNA". It matches the Rfam family "Bacterial small subunit ribosomal RNA", at positions 9 to 694 of the family's 1533-position model. The record is from RNAcentral.